This 117-nucleotide ribosomal RNA is filed under the name Geobacillus thermodenitrificans. The record is from RNAcentral. RNAcentral also lists the same sequence under 3 other names. Lineage: Bacteria; Bacillati; Bacillota; Bacilli; Caryophanales; Anoxybacillaceae.
CCUAGUGAUGAUAGCGGAGAGGAAACACCCGUUCCCAUCCCGAACACGGAAGUUAAGCUCUCCAGCGCCGAUGGUAGUUGGGGCCAGCGCCCCUGCAAGAGUAGGUCGUUGCUAGGC